AGAGCGAUUGCAGAUCUCUUCUGCAACAUCGCUGAAGAACCAUGCUUCAAUCAGCUGAGGUCAUUAUAUAUAGCUUUUCUGCGCUCUGAUUUCAUGCUUCUGUGUGAGACCUGCAUUAAAGGAUUUCUGAAAUUUUCUGUGCUGCUCUCUGAUCUUUGUAACGUUUUAUUGCCUGCAUUAAAUUAUAUAGAACAAAGGAGCAGCUCGGCUAUUCCGUUGACUGUGGCACGCGGAUGACCUACCGUGUUCAAGGAUUUUGCUUCAGAGUCCAGUCUUCCAAAUACACCCCAUCUUACCUGCAUCGAAGGAUUACGAACUUCAUUGACAGCCUUCAAGAAAUCCUGGUGAGCGAGGUUCUUGAUGAUUAUGGGGGGGGCUACAAGCUACCUCCUUUUUAUUAUUCCUCCCUCGUGAUUUUAUUCCUCCCCUUGUGGAUUCCGCAUCUCAUUCUUCAUGAAAUCCUGCUUGAAAACUAUGAAACGUAGUACUUAAUGAUGCAAAAAAAUGUGGCAAUCAAUGAAAACGACUGAAAGUACCAUUCGGAGCGAGGGAAUCAGCCAGUGAUUCGAUAAAUCUACCUGCAUUCGAUCAUAUGAAGGAACUCAAGAGUGUUGUUCUCGCAGAGUGAUCUCGACGAUGAAUCGUUCGACCACCAUAGACAGGGGUUGAUCGCGCAGAAGCUGGAGAAGGACCCCUCGCUCGCCUAUGAGACCG
RNAcentral lists this long non-coding RNA (714 nucleotides) under Spirodela polyrhiza (greater duckweed). RNAcentral's name for it is "long non-coding RNA (SPOL_LNC001491)". The record is from RNAcentral. Lineage: Eukaryota; Viridiplantae; Streptophyta; Magnoliopsida; Alismatales; Araceae.